GAUGAACGCUGGCGGCGUGCCUAAUACAUGCAAGUCGAGCGAACGGACGAGAAGCUUGCUUCUCUGAUGUUAGCGGCGGACGGGUGAGUAACACGUGGAUAACCUACCUAUAAGACUGGGAUAACUUCGGGAAACCGUAGCUAAUACCGGAUAAUAUUUUGAACCGCAUGGUUCAAAAGUGAAAGACGGUCUUGCUGUCACUUAUAGAUGGAUCCGCGCUGCAUUAGCUAGUUGGUAAGGUAACGGCUUACCAAGGCAACGAUGCAUAGCCGACCUGAGAGGGUGAUCGGCCACACUGGAACUGAGACACGGUCCAGACUCCGACGGGAGGCAGCAGUAGGGAAUCUUCCGCAAUGGGCGAAAGCCUGACGGAGCAACGCCGCGUGAGUGAUGAAGGUCUUCGGAUCGUAAAACUCUGUUAUUAGGGAAGAACAUAUGUGUAAGUAACUGUGCACAUCUUGACGGUACCUAAUCAGAAAGCCACGGCUAACUAC
Molecule: ribosomal RNA, 494 nt
Filed under: uncultured bacterium
Lineage: Bacteria
Description: partial 16S ribosomal RNA
Rfam family: Bacterial small subunit ribosomal RNA
Source: RNAcentral